This 1650-nucleotide ribosomal RNA is filed under the name Meloidogyne javanica (root-knot nematode). RNAcentral describes it as "SSU rRNA". It matches the Rfam family "Eukaryotic small subunit ribosomal RNA". Lineage: Eukaryota; Metazoa; Nematoda; Chromadorea; Rhabditida; Meloidogynidae. The record is from RNAcentral.
UAUAAGUUUAAUCGUUUAUCGAGAAACCGCGAACGGCUCAUUACAAUGGCCAUUAUUUACUUGAUCUUGAUUGUCUAAAUGGAUAACUGUGGAAAAGCUAGAGCUAAUACAUGCACUAAAGCUUUGUCCUUACGGAAAAGCGCAUUUAUUAGAACAAAACCACGCGGCUUCGGCUGCUUCUUGUUGACUCAGAAUAACUUAGCUGACCGCAUGGCCUUGUGCCGGCGGCGUGUCUUUCAAGCGUCCACUUUAUCAACUUGACGGGAGCAUAAUCGACUCCCGUGGUGGUGACGGAUAACGGAGGAUCAGGGUUCGACUCCGGAGAAGGGGCCUGAGAAAUGGCCACUACGUCUAAGGAUGGCAGCAGGCGCGCAAAUUACCCACUCUCGGCUCCAGGAGGUAGUGACGAGAAAUAACGAGACUGUUCUCUUUGAGGCCGGUCAUCGGAAUGGGUACAAUUUAAACCCUUUAACGAGUAUCAAGCAGAGGGCAAGUCUGGUGCCAGCAGCCGCGGUAAUUCCAGCUCUGCAAAUACAUAGAAUUAUUGCUGCGGUUAGAAAGCUCAUAGUUGGAUUCGUAUCGAUACCUUGGAACCCUUCGGGUGUCUCUAGGUGUUAUCGAUUUAUCGUAAUGUUCGGUUUUGAGUCCUUAACAGGAUUCUUAACAGGCAUUGCAAGUUUACUUUGAACAAAUCAGAGUGCUUCAAACAGGCGUUUUCGCUUGAAUGAUCGUGCAUGGAAUAAUAGAAAAUGAUUUCGGUUCAGUUUUAUUGGUUUUACGGACUGAGAUAAUGGUUAACAGAGACAAACGGGGGCAUUUGUAUGGUCCCGUGAGAGGUGAAAUUCUUGGACCGUGGCCAGACAAACUACAGCGAAAGCAUUUGCCAAGAAUGUUUUUAUUAAUCAAGAACGAAAGUCAGAGGUUCGAAGGCGAUCAGAUACCGCCCUAGUUCUGACCGUAAACGAUGCCAACUAGCGAUCCGCCGAUGGAAAUUAUAUUGCCUUGGUGGGGAGCUUCCCGGAAACGAAAGUCUUCCGGUUCCGGGGGAAGUAUGGUUGCAAAGCUGAAACUUAAAGGAAUUGACGGAAGGGCACCACCAGGAGUGGAGCCUGCGGCUUAAUUUGACUCAACACGGGGAAACUCACCCGGCCCGGACACUGUGAGGAUUGACAGAUUGAUAGCUUUUUCAUGAUUCAGUGGAUGGUGGUGCAUGGCCGUUCUUAGUUCGUGGAGUGAUUUGUCUGGUUUAUUCCGAUAACGAGCGAGACUCUAACCUACUAAAUAGUUGGUACAUACUCUUAGUGUAUACAGCUUCUGAGAGGGAUUUGCGGCGUUCAGCCGAAAGAAAUUGAGCAAUAACAGGUCUGUGAUGCCCUUAGAUGUCCGGGGCUGCACGCGCGCUACACUGGCAAAAUCAACGUGCUUGUCCUACCCUGAAAGGGGCGGGUAAACCAUUGAAAAUUUGCCGUGAUUGGGAUCGGAAAUUGCAAUUAUUUUCCGUGAACGAGGAAUUCCAAGUAAGUGCGAGUCAUCAGCUCGCGUUGAUUACGUCCCUGCCCUUUGUACACACCGCCCGUCGCUGCCCGGGACUGAGCCAUUUCGAGAAAUUUGGGGACCGUUGAUUUAAUUUUUCUAAAUUACUUUGAUGGA